This is a long non-coding RNA of Oncorhynchus tshawytscha (Chinook salmon), 1660 nucleotides long. The record is from Ensembl. NCBI's taxonomy places the organism in Eukaryota, Metazoa, Chordata, Actinopteri, Salmoniformes, Salmonidae.
UCUGGGACCUGUUGGAUCGGAGGCAAGUGGAACAAAAGACUGAGGGGAAGGAGACGGCACACAGACUCACCCAAGAUCCCAACGGAGCAGAGACGUCAGCACUAUUGACACAGACUCAUCCAAGAUCCCAACGGAGCAGAGAGGUCAGCACUAUUGACACAGACUCAUCCAAGAUCCCAACGGAGCAGAGAGGUCAGCACUAUUGACACUGACUCAUCCAAGAUCCCAACGGAGCAGAGAGGUCAGCUCUAUUGACACUGACUCAUCCAAGAUCCCAACGGAGCAGAGAGGUCAGCACUAUUGACACUGCGGCUCCUCUAAUGCGCUGAGCUAAAGCUGACCUCCACUGAUUUCACUUUGCUAUUCUUAGAGUUGCUGCAUUGUCCUCAAUUCACACAGAGGAAAGUACAAGUGAGAUAAAGGAAUCGUGCCCAUCCUCUUGAGGAUGGUUUCUUAAACCAUGAGUGGACCCAAAGUGGGCCCUGGGCAUCUGACGUGUGUCGCGAGUUACAGGAAUAGUCUAUAAUCACACACUAUUUGUAUAUCUCUUCUUCAUUUAGGUCAUUGAAGAACGAUUAGGGUCACAGGGGGAAGGUCAUUUUGGGUCACAAGUUUAAAAAGUUUAGGAACCCCUGCUCUAGUAUAGUAAUAGUAACCUAUUCGAACAAAUAGUAAAUUGACAGAGGAAGUAGGCCUUAGCCUCUCUCUGCAUCCCCACUCAUAUGGCAUCAUAUCAUAUCCCUUUAAUCAAACACAGGAUACAGUGUCCAAUGCACAUCCAAUGAUCUAAAUAUGCUCAGCAUGAGGACAGGAGCACCAGAACUAUUUUUGUAAUAAAUGAUUCCCUGACAUCCCAGCUGCUGCUAAGCUUUACAGUACUGAAUCAACAAAGAGAUGUCUCCCUGCCACUGCCAGCAUCCUAGUCCACCUUCAUGUGUCCUUCCUCUCCUCUGCUUCUUCCUCCUCCCAUCUCAUUCAGCGUUGCUGCGGUGAUGUCAUCAUUCCCUGCUCCAGCCGAGCCAGAGAUUUUGUCCUGAGCUCUCCAAGAGCUGCAGCAGCCAUCACAUGGGCCUCACCACUGCAUCACUCACCACCCCCCCUCCUGCUGCAGGUAGCUCAGGUUGCUAGGAGACACUUUCCCUGGCUGCCUAGCAACAGAUAAACGUUGUGUUUCUUCCUCUGAUGGAUGAGGCAGGACUGCUUUAACACCUUGACUUUGGCUGCUCACCCACCCUCUGGACAGUGCAGUGGGACUCUGGGCAGCGACGUGGGACUCUGGACAGCGACGUGGGACCCUGGACAGUGCAGUGGGACUCUGGGCAGCGACGUGGGACUCUGGACAGUGCAGUGGGACUCUGGGCAGCGACGUGGGACUCUGGGCAGCGACGUGGGACUCUGGGCAGCGACGUGGGACUCUGGGCAGCGACGUGGGACUCUGGGCAGCGACGUGCGACUCUGGGCAGCGACGUGGGACUCUGGACAGCGACGUGGGACCCUGGACAGUGCAGUGGGACUCUGGGCAGCGACGUGGGACUCUGAACAGUGCAGUGGGACUCUGGGCAGCGACGUGGGACUCUGGGCAGCGACGUGCGACUCUGGGCAGCGACGUGCGACUCUGGGCAGCGACGUGCGACUCUGGGCAGCGACGUGCGACUCUGGG